AAGAAUUAAUUUAUCUUACUCUCAUUGUUUCUUUUUACUCAGAGUAAUUUCUAGCUUACUUUGUUCUUAUAAUGUGAAGUUUUGUAAUAGUUUUAAGUGAUUGUACUUUUAAAAUACAGUAAUAUAUUGUCAAUGUAUAUAGAAUUGUGGUAAGCUAGAAAUUACUCUUAGUAAUUUCAUAAAGUUUGUUAUCUAACGUAAAUUUCAGAAAGUUUGUUAUCUAAAGUAAUUUAAAGAUGUACUGUGAAUCAUACAACUAAAUUUUGAAUAAGUGCUGAGAAUGUCCUUUCCACACUACCUCUUUUCAGUUCUACCAUUUUCUAUUUGUCAUUUUCAUUUAUACCCUUUUUAGAUUUUUAAUGACCAUUUUACCACUAUUUGGAAAUUGUUUUAGGUUAACAAAAUGAAAUAUUAAUAUUUCUUCGCAUAAAAUAUUUCAAAAUAAAUUUCCUGCCAAAUUUUUCCUGCCAAAAUAUUUUUUCAAAAACAUGUUUCCCGCAA
This 501-nucleotide small RNA is filed under the name Arabidopsis thaliana (thale cress). RNAcentral describes it as "ATSL259160". Lineage: Eukaryota; Viridiplantae; Streptophyta; Magnoliopsida; Brassicales; Brassicaceae. The record is from RNAcentral.